GCCUGGUUUGGGUUAAAUCCCAUAAAAUCAUCUUGAGAAGGAUGUGUAGUUCUUCAGAUCUGUCAGACUUUUUAUUAUUUGUGGGUUGUGGUUAUGAUUGACCUGGAGGUUACAUCUGUCAAUUUAUGAUCCUGUCAAGCAUUUACAUUUGAUAAAAGAUUUUUAAAAACUAUGUUCUGAGGCACUUACUGAAGAGCAGAGUUCUUGGUUUCAUGUUCCAGGCCAGAGAGGAGAACCAAAAGAAGAUUUUAGGUCAAAGGCACCAUCCCCCAUGCCCAAGUACUAGAGAUGAUUACACCCAUAGUCAGCUAUAAAUUUUAAAAAAUGAACAGGCAAUGGAGAAAGUUACUAUGGGAAUAGAGAAGACAAGACUUCAUCUUCAGAAGAGGAUACUAAAGCCAAAAAAAAAAAAAAAAAGCCUCUCUAUCCCAAUGAGUAAUGUUAAAAAAGAAUUCAUAAAAGAACUCAAAAAAGACUUUUGAAAAUCAAUGAGAGAGAUUAAGGAAAAACUAAAAAGAAAAAAAAUUCAGGAAAAAUAAGAAGAUUAUGAAAAUAAAGUCCGCCAACUAGAAAAGGAGAUCCAGAAUCCUUAAAAACCAGAAUUGGGCAAGGGGAAAUCAACAAAUUUAUGAGCCCCCCCCAAAAAAGUUUUUAAAAUACAAUGAAAAAAAUAGAAAAGAAUGUGAAACAUUUCAUAAUAAAAACAACUGACCUACAGAACAAAUCAAGAACAUAAAACUUAAAAAUAACUGGGCUACCUGAAAGCUAUGACCAAAAUAAAAAGUAUCUUCAUAAAAUAAUACAAAAGAUAAUUUAAAAUUAUUAUCAGCUUCACAGUUUCAAUUAAUAAUAACAAUAUAAUAGUUCAUACAUUUAUUUAACACUUUAAUGUCUGCAAGGUGCUGUACAGUUAUUAUUUUACUUAAUCCUCACAACAACCCUGUGUGGUAGGUGCUUUUAUUAUUCCCAUUUAACAGAUAAAACUGAGAGAAGUCUCCCCACUACACUAUGUGGUCUCUUUAGGGUUGCCAUAGCAUAGAACAUACAUUUUCUCAUUUUGGAUCCUCACCACAAACUGAAUGAGGUGGGUAUCAAUUUUUUCCUCGCUUCACAAAAGGUUGAGAGGAGUUAAAUGUAUUACUCAGGGUCACAUAGUUAGUAUAUAUAAAUUAAUACAUAUAGAUCAAUCCAGAUCUUCCUGAUCCCCAGCCCACUUAUCUCCACUGGACUAUUUCUCUUAUUUGAUUUUCAUUGUAAUUGGCAGGAAUGCUAAUUUUUUCUGGGUUUUUCAGACAAGGAACCUGAGGCUCAAGCCCCAAGGGAAGUGACCUGCUAUUAGCAGUAAGGCCUGGAGGCAGGAUUGGGAGCCAGGGCUUCCCUGACCCUG
RNAcentral lists this long non-coding RNA (1387 nucleotides) under Sarcophilus harrisii (Tasmanian devil). RNAcentral's name for it is "lncRNA (ENSSHAG00000032203.1)". The record is from RNAcentral. Lineage: Eukaryota; Metazoa; Chordata; Mammalia; Dasyuromorphia; Dasyuridae.